Molecule: ribosomal RNA, 254 nt
Filed under: uncultured bacterium
Lineage: Bacteria
Description: partial 16S ribosomal RNA
Rfam family: Bacterial small subunit ribosomal RNA
Source: RNAcentral
UACGUAGGGUGCGAGCGUUAAUCGGAAUUACUGGGCGUAAAGCGUGCGCAGGCGGUUCGUUAUGUCCGAUGUGAAAGCCCCGAGCUCAACUUGGGAAUGGCAUUGGAAACUGGCGGGCUGGAGUGUGGCAGAGGGGGGUGGGAUUCCACGUGUAGCAGUGAAAUGCGUAGAGAUGUGGAGGAACACCGAUGGCGAAGGCAGCCCCCUGGGCUGAGAUUGACGCUGAGUGCACGAAAGCGUGGGGAGCAAACAGG